RNAcentral lists this ribosomal RNA (468 nucleotides) under uncultured bacterium. RNAcentral describes it as "partial 16S ribosomal RNA". It matches the Rfam family "Bacterial small subunit ribosomal RNA", at positions 28 to 507 of the family's 1533-position model. The record is from RNAcentral.
GACGAACGCUGGCGGCGUGCUUAACACAUGCAAGUCGAACGGAAAGGCCCUGCUUUUGUGGGGUGCUCGAGUGGCGAACGGGUGAGUAACACGUGAGUAACCUGCCCUUGACUUUGGGAUAACUUCAGGAAACUGGGGCUAAUACCGGAUAGGAGCUCCUGCUGCAUGGUGGGGGUUGGAAAGUUUCGGCGGUUGGGGAUGGACUCGCGGCUUAUCAGCUUGUUGGUGGGGUAGUGGCUUACCAAGGCUUUGUCGGGUAGCCGGCCUGAGAGGGUGACCGGCCACAUUGGGACUGAGAUACGGCGCAGACUCCUACGGGAGGCAGCAGGGGGGAAUAUUGCACAAUGGGCGGAAGCCAGAUGCAGAAACGCCGCGUGCGGGAUGACGGCCUUCGGGUUGUAAACCGCUUUCGCCUGUGACGAAGCGUGAGUGACGGUAAUGGGUAAAGAAGCACCGGCUAACUACGUG